This 469-nucleotide microRNA precursor is filed under the name Gossypium raimondii (Peruvian cotton). RNAcentral describes it as "miR8689 stem-loop (gra-MIR8689)". Lineage: Eukaryota; Viridiplantae; Streptophyta; Magnoliopsida; Malvales; Malvaceae. The record is from miRBase by way of RNAcentral.
GUUGAGGAGUAGAGGUGCUCAUGGGCUGGGUCGGGCCAGGCCCCAAAAAAUUCAGCUCGAGUCCUAGGCCAGAGCUCAACUCGACUCAAAAUAUGGGCUUGAAAUUUUGUCCAGGCCCGGCCCAAGAAAAAAAUCUUAAGCCCGAGCCCGGCCCGACCCAUUUUUUAAAUAAAACACCAAAAAUUUAUUUUAAAAUAAAAAAUAAAAAAAUAUUUUAAAAAUAAUAAAAAUAUAUAUAUUUAUUAUUUAUUCGGGCCGGGCAGAGCAGGGCCCGGGCCAAAAAAGUAGUGCCCGAGGCCCGACCCAUUUUUUAAACAGGCCUCGUUUUUUUUGCCCAAGCUCAUAUUUCGAGCCUAUAUUUUUAUCCGAACCCUCUCAUAUUUCGGACUGGCCGUCGGACCAGGCCGGGUCGGGCCGCCCGACCCAUGAUCACCUCUAUUGAGGAGUCAAUUAAUGAAUAUAUCCCAAA